UUCAUACCUCAAGUGCUUUAUCA
RNAcentral lists this non-coding RNA (23 nucleotides) under Arabidopsis thaliana (thale cress). Lineage: Eukaryota; Viridiplantae; Streptophyta; Magnoliopsida; Brassicales; Brassicaceae. The record is from RNAcentral.